AGAGUAAGUUGUUUCAUCACGAGAGGAAUACCGAAAGGCUCCUUUUGAGGAAAGUCCGGGCACCGCAGGGCAGGAUGCCGGCUAACAGCCGGUGAAGGCGACUUUAAGGAUAGUGCCACAGAAACAAACCGCCCUGAGCUUUUUCAGGGUAAGGGUGGAACGGUGCGGUAAGAGCGCACCGGCGGCUUGGUAACAAGUCGGCCAGGUAAACCCCAUCCGGUGCAAGAUCGAAUAGGAAGGCGUGGGAGUUGCCCGCUCUGCCUUCGGGUAUGGUCGCGUGAACCCUUUGGCAACAAAGGGUCAAGAUAGAUGAUGAAAAAAACAGAACCCGGCUUAUAGACUUGCUCUUUGA
RNAcentral lists this RNase P RNA (352 nucleotides) under Bacillota bacterium. RNAcentral describes it as "RNase P RNA component class A". It matches the Rfam family "Bacterial RNase P class A". From Rfam's summary of the family: Ribonuclease P (RNase P) is a ubiquitous endoribonuclease, found in archaea, bacteria and eukarya as well as chloroplasts and mitochondria. Its best characterised activity is the generation of mature 5'-ends of tRNAs by cleaving the 5'-leader elements of precursor-tRNAs. The record is from RNAcentral. Lineage: Bacteria; Bacillati; Bacillota.